CUGUCGCAGCCCGACCUGAGUGGAGCUCAUUUUUUUGGUUUGGCUAAGGCUUGGAAAAAAAUAGCGGGAACGGAGGGCGGAAAUGCUG
Molecule: unclassified non-coding RNA, 88 nt
Filed under: Soonwooa buanensis
Lineage: Bacteria; Pseudomonadati; Bacteroidota; Flavobacteriia; Flavobacteriales; Weeksellaceae
Description: Flavo-1 RNA
Source: RNAcentral